AUACCGGCGGCUCGAGUGGUGGCCACUUUUAUUGGGCUUAAAGCGUUCGUAGCUGGGUUGUUAAGUCUCUUGGGAAAUCCGGCGGCUUAACAGUCGGGCGUCUAAGAGAUACUGGCAAUCUUGGAACCGGGGGAGGUGAGGGGUACUUCGGGGGUAGGGGUGAAAACCUGUAAUCCUCGAGGGACCACCUGUGGCAAAGGCGCCUCACCAGAACGGCUUCGACAGUGAGGGACGAAAGCUGGGGGAGCAAACCGGAUUAGAUACCCGGGUAGUCCCAGCCGUAAACGAUGUGCGUUAGGUGUAUCGACGACCACGAGUCGUCGAGGUGCCGAAGGGAAACCGUGAAACGUACCGCCUGGGAAGUACGGUCGCAAGGCUGAAACUUAAAGGAAUUGGCGGGG
This 401-nucleotide ribosomal RNA is filed under the name uncultured bacterium. Its description in RNAcentral is "partial 16S ribosomal RNA". It matches the Rfam family "Archaeal small subunit ribosomal RNA", at positions 473 to 873 of the family's 1478-position model. The record is from RNAcentral.